Molecule: ribosomal RNA, 554 nt
Filed under: uncultured bacterium
Lineage: Bacteria
Description: bacterial SSU rRNA
Rfam family: Bacterial small subunit ribosomal RNA
Source: RNAcentral
AUUGAACGCUGGCGGCAGGCUUAACACAUGCAAGUCGAGCGGAGAUGAGGUGCUUGCUCCUUAUCUUAGCGGCGGACGGGUGAGUAAUGCUUAAGAAUCUGCCUAUUAGUGGGGGACAACAUUCCGAAAGGGAUGCUAAUACCGCAUACGUCCUACGGGAGAAAGCAGGGGAUCUUCGGACCUUGCGCUAAUAGAUGAGCCUAAGUCGGAUUAGCUAGUUGGUGGGGUAAAGGCCUACCAAGGCGACUAUCUGUAGCGGGUCUGAAAGGAUGAUCCGCCACUCUGGGACUGAGACACGGCCCACACUCCUACGGGAGGCAGCAGUGGGGAAUAUUGGACAAUGGGGGGAACCCUGAUCCAGCCAUGCCGCGUGUGUGAAGAAGGCCUUAUGGUUGUAAAGCACUUUAAGCGAGGAGGAGGCUACUGGGACUAGUACUCUUGGAUAGUGGACGUUACUCACAAAAUAAGCACCGGCUAUCUCUGUGCCAGCAGCCGCGGUAAUACAGAGGGUGCGAGCGUUAAUCGGAUUUGCUGGGCGUAAAGCGUGCGUAGGC